CUUGGGUUGCAUAGUUGGGCAACACCAAUCAAAUUCAAUUCUAUGUGUGUCAGUCCUUCCACCACAUGAACUUCAUCAAAUUCAAUUUUACCGGCAUUAGCUCCUUCAUCAAGGAACUCCUUUUUCAUAAAAACUGUCUGGCUGCUGACAAACACCUUUUAUUCUAUAGUGAGGUAGAAGUAGUAUCCUUUAGUUUUCUUUGAGUAUCCUACAAACAAGCAUCUGUCGAACUUAUGUCCAAACUUAUCUGUCUUUAAAUGCUUGACAUAAGCUGGACACCCCU
RNAcentral lists this long non-coding RNA (283 nucleotides) under Elaeis guineensis (African oil palm). RNAcentral's name for it is "long non-coding RNA (EGUI_LNC027473)". The record is from RNAcentral. Lineage: Eukaryota; Viridiplantae; Streptophyta; Magnoliopsida; Arecales; Arecaceae.